AAGUGUAAAACCCAACCCAAAACCCCUCAAAACCGUUGGCUUGCCUUCUUUUUCCUCGCAGGCAACCUCCACUGCCCGCCCUCCCUCCCUCUCUCAAACACCUUCCCUACAAAACAAAGAACGCCUCUCUCUCUCUCUCUCUCUCUCUCUCUCUCUCUCUCUCUCUCUACCCCCUCACCCGCCGGCCUCCGGGCAUGAAUCUCGUGCGGAUCUUCUCCUCUCAGAAUCGCCGCUCCCUGGCUCUCCUGAAGCACUCUUCCAGGCCUUUCUCGGCGGAGACGGCAGAGUACGCGAAGAGGAACUACGCCAGCAACAUCUCCGAGUACAACACCGUCAUCAGCUCACUCAUCGCCCAGCGAAGGAAUUACUUGCUGAGGGAUGCGUACGAUGACAUGUUGCUCGACGGCGUCCAGCCGGUGCGCGACACAUUCCACUCUCUUAUUGUGGGGACCAUGAAAUGCAGCCGGCUCCAAGAUGGAUUCUUCUUCCGCGAACAGAUGAAUGCCAUGGGCUUGCACCCCGAUGUUAAUCUGUACAAUUUCUUGAUCUCGACCUGUGGGAAAUGCAAGAACUCUGAUGCGGCAAUAAAAUGUGUUCUUUUGGAAGAAAUGAAGAGGCAUGGGGUGAAGUUGAAAGGAGAGACUUACAUUUGCCUCCUUAGUGCUUGUGCAGCAACUGGACGUACAGAUCAAGUCUAUGCAAUUGUUCGUGAUAUGACUGCUGCUGGCCUUGGAUUAAACAAAUUUUGCUAUGCUGGACUUAUAACUGCAUUUAAGAACAAGUUACCAAUCACCAAGGAGACUACUACAAAAAUCAUCGAGUUUGUCUAGCAAUCCAAGGGGUGGUCAUCAAUUGAAACUUCAAGUAAUAGUGGAGAAAAUGUGAUGAUGAAUGUUUCUGAGGAGGAAUUGUAUAAUAUCCCAACUGGAGAAUAUGUGCACAGACGGGGAUUUAUAAACAGAUAGUUAACAGUUUAUUAUGUAGCUUUACAUGCAUGCGCAGAUUUAAAGAGUAAAGAGACAAUGGAAACAAUUCUUGAAAUGCUUAAAAGAGAUGGCUAUUCUUAUGAUAUCUUCAUUGUCAUGCAAGCAAUGAGAAUCAGUUAUACGAAGCUAUACGACUUUAAGAUAAUUGCAGACCUGACAGUAGUUGACGGAGCAAUGGUUGGUUAUACUCCUCAAGGGAUGCAACUUGCACAAGAUACCCUGGGAAAAAUGAAUGCAAGAGGAUUUUUCUUGAAUCCCAAGAUGGGAAGUGAUCUCCUCCUGGCAGCUGCAGGUAAAAAGACGGGUGGAUACACCACUGCCAAUUAUAUAUGGGAUCUAUUACAAAGCCGCAAGAUUGAUCCUUCUCUUCCUGCGGUGGAGGCCUACCACAAGGGUUUGAAGCAACGGGAGAUACCAGUAGAUGAUCCACGGCUUCUGAUGGUUUCACGCACGCUCGAUAAUCUCAGGCUUAGAUUUGGAGGAAGAAGAAAUGCUUAGAGUGGCCAGUAUUUUGCAGUCUGCUUUCAGGGACCCCCUUCUCUUCCCUGUAUGUUAUUUGGGUGCAGUGCUUCUUAGCUUUACAGGUGCAGUCAUCUUCAGUUAGAGGCUACCGAAAGUAACAUUGUAAUAUGAAUGAGGUCUACUUGUACAAGAUAUUCAGAACAGAGCACAAUUUUAGUGUUAAAUUAUAGAUAAAAAAAUUAAUUUACAUAAUCUUCUAUAGAGCAACAACUUGAUAGUUAAUUUU
Phoenix dactylifera (date palm) is the source of this 1734-nucleotide non-coding RNA. NCBI's taxonomy places the organism in Eukaryota, Viridiplantae, Streptophyta, Magnoliopsida, Arecales, Arecaceae. The record is from RefSeq and is a predicted model, not a curated record.